AAUCAUGAAGUAAAAUAUACAUUCAGUUUCGACCUGAACCAUUGUGAAAUAUUCACCAUAUUA
This 63-nucleotide transfer RNA is filed under the name Kalasha nativa. RNAcentral's name for it is "tRNA-Arg". The record is from RNAcentral. Lineage: Eukaryota; Metazoa; Arthropoda; Insecta; Hemiptera; Cicadellidae.